RNAcentral lists this long non-coding RNA (336 nucleotides) under Glycine max (soybean). RNAcentral's name for it is "long non-coding RNA (GMAX_LNC002447)". Lineage: Eukaryota; Viridiplantae; Streptophyta; Magnoliopsida; Fabales; Fabaceae. The record is from RNAcentral.
UAUGCCGAGUAACAAGUGAUCUUCGUCGUCUAGGUGAGAGUGACCUCCGUUGUCCAAGAGGUGAUGGUGAUCUAUGACAGCGCCCAGGAGAAGGUGAUCUGUGUCGACGCCCAGGGGAAGGUGAUCUACGUCGGCGCACUGGAGAAGGUGAUCUACGCCGACGCACUGGAGAAGGUGAUCUACGUCGUCGCACAGGAGAAGGUGAUCUACGUCGUCGCACAGGAGAAGGCGAUCUACGUCGUCGCACAGGAGAAGGCGAUCUACGUCGUCGCACAGGAGAAGGCGAUCUACGUCGUCGCACAGGAGAAGGCGAUCUAUGUCGUCGAACAGGAGAAG